This is a long non-coding RNA of Mus musculus (house mouse), 1975 nucleotides long. RefSeq annotates it as predicted gene, 52823. The transcript has 3 exons. The record is from RefSeq and is a predicted model, not a curated record. Lineage: Eukaryota; Metazoa; Chordata; Mammalia; Rodentia; Muridae.
CACUAGGAAUGACCCGCCCCUUGUCUGGGCGCACAACUGGAGCCGCAAAUGGAGCCUUGAAACCAGGCUGCUGGGGAAGUUACUCCUGACCGACCUGAAGACCCACCCGCAGCUGGUUAUCUUUGCCCGCAGUAGGGACGGUAGCAAGCCCUAUGGCCUCUUGCCUGCUGUUCCCUACUUCUGAGUGCUAUUCUUGCCCCUAGUGUGGCCAGAUGGCUUCCAGCUCCUUCUCCGUGAUGAAGAAACCUCCCCUGACAGACUACUCUGGGUUUCCACAUCACAGCAAGCACUGACAGAGCUAGGAGAUGGCAGAGCUGGAGCCCAACCAGGCUAGAUCCCAGUCCUCAACCUCCAGAAGGAAGACAUAACAGUCCUUGGCCUGUGUGAUCCAUAGCAAGUGCUUUGGUUGAGAGUGUCAUGCAUCACCAUGCCUGCUGCAACGGGGCUGGAAGAGUAGAUCACGCAUGGCGGAUGGAGAUGCUGAGGCCGUGGACCAGAAUCUGUGCCCAGGCAGCCGGCUCGGGCUCACAGCUAAGACCAAGCUGAGGUCUGUCAUGGUUGGAAGCCCUGCUGCCUAAAGCUACUUACAGCUAUAGCGGGACACCCAAGACUACAUUAGUUCACAAGCGGGAGUUUCUGUAGAUCUGGGUUCUGGAGGUGGGAAGCCGCCCGGAAGCUGGUGUCUAGUGGGCUUCCUGCUGCCUGUGGUGGGAAACAGGAGGUGAAGCCACACAGGAGCAGGGAGGAGAGGGCUGAGCUCUGCCUGUCAGCCUGUCAGCAGCAAUGGCCUUAGUCUGCCAGAACACUUAAAACAGAUUCAUCCCUUAAAGGCCCCACCUCUCCUUGGGGGGGGGGGGGAUAAAGUUCCCAGCAGCUACACAAUGGGGACAGGUUCAAAGCACCACAAUGCCUGACCCCUCAGAGUGCUACGUGCCAUUCCCAAUUGGCCAGUCAGUGACAUUAGCACACAGAAGGCAGAACUACCCUGACCUUUCCGUUCCCCAGAUAACUGCUUGAACCAGAGCCAUUAAGUCAGUUCCCCAGGGUCACACAGUACCCUAGAGGACCAGCCUGUCUGAGUCCACAUCUCUCCCUUCCCCUCCGAUAGUUCAAAAAGCAGAUCACAUACUUCCGAUGCACACAAUGUAUACAUUGUAAUUGUAUAUAGUGUAUACAACACAGUACCCUAGAGGACCAGCUUGUCUAAAUCCACAUCUCUCUCUUCCCCUCUGCUAGUUCAAAAAGCAGAUCACAUACUUCCAAUGCAUACAAUGUACACAUUAUAGUUAUAUACAUUACAUACAAUGACACAGGAUAUACAGUGCCAUUAUGGAAGGGAGAAAAGGUAGUGAGGGAAAAACUGGACCAGAGCAAGACCAAACCCCAAACUCCAAAUCCUGUAGCUCCAUGUCCAAUGUCAAAGAGCUUAGAUGGCUCCACCCUUCAAGCCUUACUGACUGACACUGCGACACACCUCACUCUCUUGUGCUGCUUCCGCACCUUGUCUGCAGCAUCUCCAACAUCUCGGGGUCUCCAACGUAACCUAGUAUUCACCCUCAGGAAAUGGCCUCCUCCAUGCAGGACAUCCCGGACACACACCCUUUAUCCAACGCCUUUACUCCCGUAUCCUCCAUGGCUCUAAAGUCAGAACUACAUGCUCGAUGCCACCAAAUUCUGCCAGCUUAGCUGUGUGGGAUCUUGCUCUGAAGGCACCAAUCCCUUUAUUCCACUUAGCACGGGCCAGUCUUUAGAAGGCUCAACUCCUGAAGUGCAGGACUUGCCUCCAAUAUUACACUCUGCUGUUCUCCUCAUCAAACUACCCUUUAGAUUUUUUUCAUCCUGCUUGCUCUGUUUCAUUGUAGCACAUUGUGAUUGCUGAUGACCCCAUGACACAGUCACUAGUAGGCUGUCUCCAAAUCUCUGCCAAUGAAAUUACUCCAAAAUUCUUCAGAUUCUUAGGAUAAGAACAACAACA